UUCCAGGAAGUGUUAGUCUGUUAUUGAGGAUGUACACUUUAUUAUCGGGUCUCUACAAAUAUAUGUUUCAAAAGGACGAGUAUUGCGUCCUGAUCCUCGGUCUGGACAAUGCUGGAAAAACGACUUUUCUGGAACAAACAAAAACAAAAUUCAGCAGAAACUACAAGGGCAUGAACCUUUCGAAGAUCACAACUACAGUCGGCCUGAACAUCGGCACCAUUGAUGUGGGAAAAGCUCGUCUGAUGUUUUGGGAUCUUGGAGGACAAGAAGAGCUGCAGUCAUUGUGGGAUAAGUACUAUGCAGAAUCUCAUGGUGUCAUUUAUGUCAUCGACUCCACCGAUGAGGAGCGACUGGGCGAAUCGAAGAACGCUUUCGAGAAGAUGAUCAGCAGUGAAGUUUUGGAAGGAGUUCCUCUUCUUGUGCUGGCGAACAAACAGGACAUAGAGAACUGUCUGUCUGUGUCCGACAUUAAAACGGCUUUCAGUGACUGCGCUCCCAAAAUCGGUAAAAGAGACUGUCUGGUGCAGCCCUGCAGUGCUCUAUCAGGAUUUAAACCUUUGUAAUAAUAAUGCUGACAGAAUUGAGAAUUUUACUUCUGCAAAUAAGUUCAGCUCAAAGCUCUGCUUCAGCGAUUCAUUCGUGUCACGACUCUGAAGUCAUCGCAGAGGCAGGGCGUGAAUGACGGCAUUGAAUGGAUGGUCAAAUGUGUGAUCCGGAACAUUCACCGGCCACCCAGACAGA
This is an RNA transcript of Sinocyclocheilus grahami, 741 nucleotides long. It is a transcript of the gene named ADP-ribosylation factor related protein 1, with no coding region annotated. NCBI's taxonomy places the organism in Eukaryota, Metazoa, Chordata, Actinopteri, Cypriniformes, Cyprinidae. The record is from RefSeq and is a predicted model, not a curated record. The transcript is spliced from 8 exons.